RNAcentral lists this ribosomal RNA (531 nucleotides) under Salmonella enterica. RNAcentral's name for it is "bacterial SSU rRNA". It matches the Rfam family "Bacterial small subunit ribosomal RNA", at positions 1014 to 1533 of the family's 1533-position model. The record is from RNAcentral. Lineage: Bacteria; Pseudomonadati; Pseudomonadota; Gammaproteobacteria; Enterobacterales; Enterobacteriaceae.
GUGCCUUCGGGAACUGUGAGACAGGUGCUGCAUGGCUGUCGUCAGCUCGUGUUGUGAAAUGUUGGGUUAAGUCCCGCAACGAGCGCAACCCUUAUCCUUUGUUGCCAGCGAUUAGGUCGGGAACUCAAAGGAGACUGCCAGUGAUAAACUGGAGGAAGGUGGGGAUGACGUCAAGUCAUCAUGGCCCUUACGACCAGGGCUACACACGUGCUACAAUGGCGCAUACAAAGAGAAGCGACCUCGCGAGAGCAAGCGGAGCUCAUAAAGUGCGUCGUAGUCCGGAUUGGAGUCUGCAACUCGACUCCAUGAAGUCGGAAUCGCUAGUAAUCGUGGAUCAGAAUGCCACGGUGAAUACGUUCCCGGGCCUUGUACACACCGCCCGUCACACCAUGGGAGUGGGUUGCAAAAGAAGUAGGUAGCUUAACCUUCGGGAGGGCGCUUACCACUUUGUGAUUCAUGACUGGGGUGAAGUCGUAACAAGGUAACCGUAGGGGAACCUGCGGUUGGAUCACCUCCUUACCUUAAAGAAGC